AAACAUGUUCAGAUGCUUACAGUUUUCUGUUGACAAUUUUAUUUUUGCAUGUCACACAUUGCAUUUAUAGACCUGCUGUUGUAGUUUUUAGUUUACUUGAACUGCAGAAAGACCAGUCAGUUGACACUUCUUGUUUUAUAGUAUGUUAAGGCAGGUUCCUUGAAGGAUCCUCUGUUAGAUGACCAUGGAGAUUUUAUCAGGAUGUGCACAGCCAUGAAAAAAAUCGGUUUGGAUGAUGAAGAAAAACUUGAUCUAUUUCGAGUCGUGGCUGGUGUCCUGCACCUUGGAAAUAUUGAUUUUGAGGAAGCCGGAAGCACUUCAGGUGGCUGCAAUCUGAAGAACAAAUCCGCCCCCUCAC
RNAcentral lists this long non-coding RNA (358 nucleotides) under Rattus norvegicus (Norway rat). Its description in RNAcentral is "long non-coding RNA NONRATT027911". Lineage: Eukaryota; Metazoa; Chordata; Mammalia; Rodentia; Muridae. The record is from RNAcentral.